This 465-nucleotide ribosomal RNA is filed under the name uncultured bacterium. RNAcentral describes it as "partial 16S ribosomal RNA". It matches the Rfam family "Bacterial small subunit ribosomal RNA", at positions 28 to 507 of the family's 1533-position model. The record is from RNAcentral.
GACGAACGCUGGCGGCGUGCUUAACACAUGCAAGUCGAACGGAAAGGCCCCCUUGUGGGGUACUCGAGUGGCGAACGGGUGAGUAACACGUGAGUAACCUGCCCUUGACUUUGGGAUAACUUCAGGAAACUGGGGCUAAUACCGGAUAGGAGCUCCUGCUGCAUGGUGGGGGUUGGAAAGUUUCGGCGGUUGGGGAUGGACUCGCGGCUUAUCAGCUUGUUGGUGGGGUAGUGGCUCACCAAGGCUUUGACGGGUAGCCGGCCUGAGAGGGUGACCGGCCACAUUGGGACUGAGAUACGGCCCAGACUCCUACGGGAGGCAGCAGUGGGGAAUAUUGCACAAUGGGCGGAAGCCUGAUGCAGCAACGCCGCGUGCGGGAUGACGGCCUUCGGGUUGUAAACCGCUUUCGCCUGUGACGAAGCGUGAGUGACGGUAAUGGGUAAAGAAGCACCGGCUAACUACGUG